GUCCCUGUAGCUCAGCAGGAUAGAGCAACGGACUUCUAAUCCGUAGGUCGGGGGUUCGAAUCCCUCCGGGGACGCCA
This 77-nucleotide transfer RNA is filed under the name Peptoniphilaceae bacterium. RNAcentral describes it as "tRNA-Arg(tct)". It matches the Rfam family "tRNA". Rfam says of the family: Transfer RNA (tRNA) molecules are approximately 80 nucleotides in length. Lineage: Bacteria; Bacillati; Bacillota; Tissierellia; Tissierellales; Peptoniphilaceae. RNAcentral also lists the same sequence under 1 other name. The record is from RNAcentral.